This is a long non-coding RNA of Motacilla alba alba, 8812 nucleotides long. RefSeq lists it as uncharacterized. The record is from RefSeq and is a predicted model, not a curated record. NCBI's taxonomy places the organism in Eukaryota, Metazoa, Chordata, Aves, Passeriformes, Motacillidae. The transcript is spliced from 2 exons.
CUUUUUUAUGAUUCUAUGAAAUAUUUAUAUUUGUUAUUUUUUUUUUCAAUCAUGGUCUACUAAUUUCUACUAAAAUAGUAAAAAAAAAAAAAAAAAAUCUUGCGCUACUAUUUCAUGUAAUAAUUUCACAGUUAUUUGCUAUUCCUCAAUGUACUCCAUGCUGAGUACCAAAGCAUGGCUUCUGUUAAAAAGAAACCUAACACCUAAAUAUUUUUAUUUUCAUCACACUUUUACUGUCUAAACUGUCCUCAAAGAUUUUUGAGUAUUACUUACUUUUAACCUUACUUUUGAGGUUUUGCUUAUACAUGUAGGACCAUGGCUAGCAUGUUGUGAAAUCUAGGUACUUUGAAGAGGAAAAGGAACAAUAAGCUGUGUACUUUUGAGACAUGUUUCAGGGAAAAUUUGGGGAAAUCAUUAACCUCCAUGAUUAGUCUUGUUUAAAAAGUCUUGGGUUUGAGGUUGUACUUUUAGCCAUCAAUCUAUGCCAUUAACUAACCUCAUUUUGGACGGUUGACAUUUUUAAAUGAAGUGUCAGUAAUUAAAUGUUGAAGGCACACUAGUACAUCUUCAUCAACAUAUGUUUCAGAUUCUCGUUAUUAUGUUUUGGAAACAUUGUACUUUCAUAUCACAGUGUAAUUGUAUUGAAGUAGUAGUAACAAUAAUAAUAACAAAAGCCCUGAAAAAUGGUACCACAGACUUGAUCAUCUGUCUAUAGUCUAGGAGGAGGUACUGAUGAAUUGUACGAUCUCCUUGUUAAAAUUCUGCUUGUGAGUUACGAAAAAGACUGUAGUGACUUUUCUGUCUCUGUGACAUUCCCUUUGUUUCUGGUUAUUGCUAUAGCAUGUCAUCCCAAAGUGAUUUAUGGAAUCCCUUUGACUGAUUCUCAAUUUAUAAGAAUUUAUUUGCAGAGUAGAGAUGUUAUUUUGCUUCUGUAAUGAAAAAGAAAGUCCAAAAUUAUAGUUGCAGUCUUUAAUUUAAAGAUACAUAUAUUCUCUUAUCCAAUUGGUACUUUGUAGUCUACAUCUACAAGACUGCUAUUUCUUGCAUAAAUAAUUCCUGCGGUUCUAAUGCAGACUCAAUAAACACUUUAAUAAUCAUGAGUCUUGUACUAUAUUUUAAUAAGUUAUGUGACGGAAUGCAAACUUAGAUUACCCCUUACUCAGAGUGCCUGCCUGAAAGGUCACCAUUACAUUUCUUCUCCUGCAUUGAACUGGCAAACCAUUUGUACAUGCAAAUGAAAUAAUAAUAGAUAAUUACCUGCUUACUACUGCUGUCAGUAGUUUGGCUCAUGUGCCAGGGAGACUGAAGCAGUACCUGUAACAUGCUGUGCUCCACCACAGACCACAUUAAAGCUGAAUGGACCUUGGAGCUACUGGAGCCAAUAUGACCAUGACCAGAAGAUUCAUUUGUUCACUUCUCACCUAUUUAAUGAUUCAGCUGCUAAAAAUACGUCUGGCUUGUGUGUGUCCCUCUAGCUUGCUGCCAUUUUCGUGUGAGCCAUGCUGGUUGUCUUUCCUUUGUUAAGCAGGACUGUUUCUUUCCCAACUUGCUUUCAGACCUCCUCAGUGCCAUGUUCUGGUCUAACUCUCUUCUCUGGCCUUGGAAAAGAUUGUUAAUAAUACUGUGCCAUGGUUUUACUAGUGAAGUUCAGUAAUGAAUAUUGCACUUCUCUGCAUCAUUUUUGAGCCUUUCUGGAGCAGCACCCAACCAACCAAUAUAUUCACAAUUCUAAAUUUUCCAACUUUGAUGUUAGUUUUUUUGUAGAUUUUUUUUUUUAUUGAAUGAUGGGCAAAUGAGAAACUUCAUUUGCUAUGAUUCUGAUAAUUGUCAUAUUCAUCAUAUACUUGCGUUGCAAAAUGAAUAUGCAAUACAAUGGUCUCAGUGAAGAAUGUCCUGAAUAGUAUAUUCAUUGCACAUGUUGUGAAUCAUAACCCAAAUCUUUUAUCUAGGGCAUCUUUUGACUGCUUAUGAGUGGAUUGCUAUCUGGUGAUCUUCAGAAGAGAAAAGCUGCUUAAGUGGAGAGAAAAAAAAAUAGGAAAGAGGGGGAAAAAAAGAGAUAAUGCCAUCAGGACUAACUGCUUCACCAAUAGAAGAAUAUUCCUCUGGACUUAACAGAAGUGCUAAGAAGGGUCACCUAGUGAUGAUCAAUACAGUAACUUGUUUUUCAUCAGUGAAAUGAGUAUGCACAACUCGCCUGUAACCAUCAUGUUUAUGCAAAGGACAAAACUGGUAAAUAGCUUGAAAUAUGUUACUUGACAAUUUUCUGUGAGAUCUAAUACAGAGAAGAGAAGGUGAAGGACAGAGACUACAAAUAUAUCUGAUAUCUUACAGAUGUAAGGAGCUGUAAAAGGAGAUGAUACUGCAGGGUUCUCUUCUGCCCCCCCAUAUGUAAGAAAAGAAUAUGUGCCUGAAAAAAGCAAAACAAUGUGAACUUCUAGCAUUAUCUUCAGCCAAAAAGUGGAAGUUUUGCUUACCAAAAUAAUAUAGGUAUUGUGUUCUCAGCAGGAGAAUAUUGUCAAAAAGAGCAAAUUAAUAAAUUCUCUAUAAAAUGUAUGGGUACAGGUCCUGUGAAUUUCUCAUAGUUGAGUCUAAUAUCACUUAGGAAAAUGUAGAGCCCUUGAAAACACACGAGUCAAACCCCUAGAAAAUUCUGUUGUUGCUUUUUCAUCCAAAGUCCCCAUUUGAGUUUGUUUAAGAGUAAUAUUUGAAAUUUUAGUUAAAAAUAAUACUGUCAGCUUUAUAUAAAAAAACAAGACACCAGAAUCCCUUGACAGUAGUGCCAUAAACAGAACAUUUUUUUAAAAGGUCUGCUAUACCUCACACCAUUUAUUGUGUAUUCUUCAAAUUUGCAUAGUGUUUUCUACCUGGUAGUGAAAAUAGAUAUCUUUUUUUUUUUUAAUUCCUGUUUGUGGUGGAUUUUUGGAGGAAUUUUCUGGAACUGGUUGACUGGUUGGCAGGACUACUGAUAUGGGUUUCAUAAAAGGUAACCAGGGAGAAAAACUCCUUGUUGGAAGCCUUUAUUUGCUUCACAGAUGCUAGCAAAUCUUCUGCUUAAAAUUUGUAGGUAUCAGCAUAUACAAAAAUGAAAACUGAUGCAUUUUGUGGUUUCAUUAUCAUAUUUUAAAUACUACCUUCAUUGUGCAGUAUCUGGAUUACAAAAAUACCAGUACAUUUUCUUCUACUUCUGACCUGAUAUGCAGGCUUAGAGAUCUCAACACAGAUCCAUUGAACUUCUUUAGUUCUGACUGUAGCUCCCAAGUUUGUCUGCUAAUUGAUAAAAAUAGUAAACAAAGACUUAAAGUGAUCAUCCUUACCCACACACACAACAACAACCACAAAAAACGCAACCACAAAAAAAAAAAAAAAAAAAAAAAAGGCAAAAAAGGGCUGGAUUCUUGGCUUGAACUGCCAGACAUUAUCUGUUUAAAUUCUCAAAGAGAGUGAGUGAAAUCUGCAUAGAAACUCAGAAAGAGCAUCUAUAGACUGAACAGUUUCUCACAUGUCAGUGCUCUCACAGGCUGGCAUGUCAGAAAAGGCUUUGCAGUUUUGUUUUUUAGGGUGUCACGAGCUAGCACAAGCAUGCAAGUCUUCUUCAUUGCAUGAAAUUUUAAGAAAUAAGUUGGAUCGCUGAAUGAAUGGAAGGAGUGAAGCUCUCAAUGCUGGCAGUGAACGUUUAACAUAUGAAUUACAUGCUUCAUCCUUCAGCCCAUUUAACUACUCUUGUGCACCUGAUAAAAGCUGGGCUGGCAUAUCACUCUCUUACAGCGAAACAAUUUUUGAAGAAUGUCCUAAUCUGCCUGCCUAGAAUCUUGCAGUAAUACUCAUUGCAUUGUAUGUGAGUACUUCCCAAGUGUCAGAACAACAAUGAUAUCUCUCUCUUCCUUCCCCAGCAGGGAUGGAAACAGUUAGUUUGCUCUUUCGUCAUAAGGGAACUCAAAAGGGGUCAGGGAGGCAGGAUGGUUAACAAUAUGGUUUUGUAACUUAGCUGGCUGGGUGGAUUUCAUCUCCAUUGUUGCUUUCUUCCUGCUUUCUGGUGGUUGCAUGCUCACUUGCCAGCUUCCCUUCCUGGUCAUUGGCACAACUCAAAAGAGGAAAGGAAGGCUCUAAGUGGCUGGGUGCAGAAUUGAGGCUAGGGAGAGGUGAGAUGUUGUAUGAAACAGACUGAUAAGAGGCUUGAUGACACGAUCAGAUAGAGGAGCUUUAGAAGGCUAAAGUCAGACCUGCUGAGAAAGAUUUAUUGCAGUAGAAAGAGGUCAUGUAUUUUUCUCUUGUGAAGCCCCAUAGGAAUGGACUAGAGUGCAGAGAACGAUGUGACAGGCCUAAUAGCAAAGGGAGAUGAGUUAGUUUUCUCUCACAAACCAGUGGAGAGGAAGCCAUACACUGAAUCUUACAGGUAAAUAUGCAAGGUGGAAGUUGGAUAGCUGGGGGCAGGCCUCAGCUUUGCUGUAGUUGGGUGCUGUUUAGUACCUUCUUCUCCCAAAGGCAGUGAUUUUACAGGAUCCCUCUAGCAGGCUACUCAUGUACCAGAAAGUGACUGAAAAUAUUUUUGAGGGAAGUAAAAAAUUAAAAAUCCAUUGCUGACAAUAAAUAUUUAUUUAUUUAUCUCAAAAACAUUUUAGCAGUGUCCAUGUAAUCUUUGCAUGACAGCUGUGAGAGAUUUCAUCCAUUAAUCUUCCAAGAUAGUUUGGAUGGAAGAAGGGAAGUAGAACAGGAAAGACAGGGUGGUGCUGAGAAGCUCAGAGCCCAGGGAGUGUGGAGUACAGGAGCAUUCUGCCUCAUUAAGGCAGGAGACAGCACUGGCUCAAACAUGUCAGACCUGCUGGCUGCAUGGUCAGAUCAAAGAAAUGCUGCAUCCUCACACACUAGGUUUUGCUAGGCUUUCCAGAGUGUGUGAAAUGCAGAGGGUUUGCAUUUCUUCUUCAAGAAGAUAAAAUGUCUGUGCACGGUAUGUCCACUCCAACCCUCCGUACAAACAGCAGGAGUCAUACAACUAAGUGUAACAAUGCAGCCUUACACAUGAUAUUUGCACUGUGCUCAGUAAUUCUGACAGGAUUCUUAAUGCAGGGAGUAUUUGCAGUAUGAAUUGCUGCCAGAACUACAGGCACAUUGUUGCUAGAACAGCAAACAACAGAGAGCUAAAAAUACCAGGGGUCAAAAUUUACUAUUGGAAUAAAUCUGAGAACUGCGUUAGUUUUGAGGGACUUCCUCAUGCAUGACCAAUUUGCCACAUAUGUUGCUUGAUAGCUGGCCAUACAAGCUCUUUGCUUUCUCAGUUUUUGUAGUACAGGAUUUGUCCAUAUCUGCUUUAUGUCUUUUUGGAAGCUAAGUGCCUGGCAUUUGAGAAUUCUCUUUCCCUCUCUAUUUGUUUUUAUUUUUAUUUUUUUCUUCUUCUAUUUUUAACCCUUCCUUGGUUUUGCUCACCUUUGGUUCAGGAAAGCUGAUGUGUUUAGAAGCUGUCAAUGCACAGGAUAUUCCAGUGCUAGCUGGUGAUUGAUAGGUCCUGUACUGAACCUUGUUGUCUUUCUUCAUCCCCUUCCUUACUGUGUUUCAUUUCCUUUUCCCCUAAACAACACAAUGUUUUCCAAACUGAAUGUCUUUGGCUCUGCUGUGGCUUUAAAAAUACUUCAAAUUUAGAUAUUUUGGGAGUUCUGCAAAGGGAGAAAGAAUGGUUAAGGGCUUUUGUCUUCCUCUUAUUUUCUGAUGGAGUUUGAAUUUCUUUGAAUUCCCACAGGAAUUUCCCAUGGGAAAGAGAGCAACUUUCACAAGGAACAGAUUUGCCAGGCUGUCUUGAAGUUAAACCCUGGGAACUUGCACAACUAUUCACCUGUACUAUGAAUGCAACAAUCAGAAUAUCUCCUAUAGGCUUCAUUUUGGGAUUCAGACUGCGAAAAAAAAUUCAUUCAAUUAAAAAAAAAAAAAAGAAAAUAACAGGUGUCCACCUCUUACUAGUCUUCUUCUGUCAGAGAACUAAAAGCCUUCCAUUUUUUCAGUGGUGUCAUCUCUUGCCUUUGCUGAGGUUUUUGCACGCAAGACUUGUCUCUGUUCUCCCAUUUGCCUUUUGAAUUUGGAUUUUGUUCACAUAUUUGUUCUUCCAUAAAGUGGAACACAGUAUCAGAGGCAAUUCUUUGCACAUCAUUCCCUGUGCUUGUGUCCCCUCCAUGACCAGAACAGCCUGACUGGCUGGCAAAGCCCCUUAUCUGAUCAUUAUAUGUAUUUGUUUAAUGUUAUUGCAACUCUCUAAACAGUUUCCACACACCCAAACUUUGGUUAUAUCCUCUACAUUGUGGGUAUAUUAUCCUGUCUCUAUUUUCUGUUGAACUCUACACUGUUCAAACUUGAAACUCCCUGGUGCUGGUGAGACUUGGAAUGGAAAGUUUUAAGCCAGCCCAUCUUACAACUCCGUAUUUUUAAGUGAUAGCAUGAAAGCAAUAGAAAGCUGAUUUAUACAGCCCAAGAACAAUUUAUCUUUGUAUAGACAUCUCUGUGUGCUGUGAUAGCAGAGAAUUCUUAUGGGAGUGUGAAGUAACCUGUGCAGUAUUUGGGGCAAAACUGCUGAUGGCAGAAAAAAGAAGUGUUUCCUGACCACUUCUAUUUUCAUGGGGUUAAAAACAAUGUUGGCCAUUACUUGUUGACUGAGAUGCUGCCUUGAUCCUUUUGGCCUCAGAGACCAAGAAUAAAAGUACCAAAGGCUUAACGUGACUCAGUUACAGACAGUUAUUUGCUACACUGAAUAACACAAUCUAGACAUUUUCACCCUAUCUACAUGUUAGCUUUGGCUUAAUAGUUCUGGUGGAUGAUCCAGAAAAUAGCUCUCCUGCAUUAGUAAUUUCAGCAAACAUUUAUUUAUGUUCAUAUAAACUGCAUGCAGACUGAAAUUCUCUCAAAUAAUAAAUAUAAUUCCCUCACAUGCCACAUGUCUUCUACAGUCUACUAGUAAUUUUUGUGUGUGUGUAUAAAAUAACAUAGAUAGAAAUGCUAGUCCAGGCUUUUUUUUCUUGUGCAUGAUUCAGCUUAACCCUUCUCCCCGUGGUGGACUUUUCCUACACUCCAUUCCCACAGGAGGUUUUCCUCUUCUGAGAUUGGCUGUAAUCUCAUAAGUAUUAGGUCAAACCCAUAAAUAUCAUGACAAACAAGCCUGAUCACUAAUCAGCACUUAGCAUUCCCCAGGUAGAACAACACCUGUUCAUUUGGACAUGGGGAAUAUGCAGUGAAACCAUUUCUGUGACAAUAAAUAAUGUUUUGUUAGUUUUGAAAUUAGUAUUCUAAAAUACACAAAGAACUGAGGAAAAUUCUGGGUGUAUAAUUUCAUUAAACAUGCUUGUCUUAGUUUGUAUUGAUAAGCGUUGAUAAAUGCUGAUGCUACAGUGACCAGAUUAAUUAGGGAAUACAUAUCUGACCCACAGAAACAAGAAAGGCACCUGCCAUACAGGCGCAUUUCAAAUUCAGCUUUCUCCUUUAGGACUGGAUGACAGAUUAUGAAGGAGGAAGAUAGCAUCACCCAUGUAAUUCUGCUAUGAUCCUUCAUUAAGCAAUCUGAAGUGAUAAAGAAAAAGCAGGAAGAAACUUUUAUAGAAAUGGUAUCCCCCUUAGGCAUCCCUACUUCAGCCUGUUGAACUUCAGCCCAAACCUUCAGCCUGUUGAUCAUCUUUGAAGAUCUGUUACACUGCAUGUCUCUGGGCCUUUACCCUCCUUCUGUAGGCCACCUCUGGAUCAUGUUAAUUGGUUUUGUUAGUGUUCUGUUGUGUUUAUAUUUGAGGUUUUGUUUGGUUGAUUUUUUUUUCUUAAAAUCUGGCUACUUUAAUUUGAAGUGUCUAAUUCAGACUUAGUUGUAAGUUUCAGCAGUCAGAUUUAAACAUCUUGGCCAUAAUGUUCAUACUGCACUGAAAUAUUGAAUCUGUUCUCGCUAACAAGGCAGUUUUUCACACAUUAAAGGAAUAUGUCGAAUGUUGAAUCUGUUAUACUCCUCAAGUGUUGGAUCUCUCCCCUACUCAGAACAGCAGUCCUCAUCACAGAUUGCAAUUCAACAGUAAAAUAUUGAAAUUCUAUUGAAUCACAUGGAUUCUCCCCAUGCUUCAGUUCUUAAAAGAAAAACCAAAAAAACAAAGCUCAAUUAACCCCUAGAGCCUGAGACAAAAUUUCAUUGACACUGUUAAAAGAAAAAGUGCCUUAAAGUACUAUAUUAACUUCUAGCUUUAUAUGUCCUCUGCAAAUAUUAGGGGAGAGAAACAGCCAGCACGACCCACAGUAACUGUGUAUAACGUGUACUGCCUAUUCCUUCCCUGUAUCCUUUCAGGUUUAGUGCAUGGCACUGUCUGUGUCUCUGCUCAUCUGCUCAGAGCUUGUGUAAAACCAAUAUGCCUAUUAGCUUUCUGUAAACUCUGUUUAUACGGUCUCCUGGACCUCUUCAGGAGAUAUUUAAUUUACUGAGAAAUACCUCAGCUCUUUUAUAGGCAAAUGAUUGAAUUCUGAGCUUCUGUAAAACUGAGGUAGUAACACAUCUUAACAAAAAGUGAAAUAGUCAGAACUUUAGGAUACUACUUAAAAAAAAUAAAACCUUCUAAAGCAGAAUUUUUAGUGAAAUAGCAGACAAAGCUGUGCAAGAAGUGUCUUUAAAAAGCAACAGUACUGGGUGGUUAGACUUUGUUGAGUUAACAGUACCGAGUUGCACAUAUAUAUUGAUGCAGUUUUCAAAGUCCAUAAAUAGUGCUUCAGCUCCUGUAUGGGAAGAGGAUGUUGCAGAAAUAAUUAUGGCAUGAUUUGAUAACCCCUUCCUAAAAAAAAAAAAAAAAAAAAGGAAAAAAGCAAAGCAAAA